GCAGGAAGGAUGCGCUGCAGGCUUUAGCAGAGACAAGGAAAGUGUAGUUUACAGUUCUGACGGAAGAUAAAUGACAGCUCAUAUUGCAGCCUGGACAUCUUACAUUUGGAAUUCGUAGGACUUUUUACACACACAAAGAAAGUUGGAUUUUGAAUGAAGCAACACAUCUGCCAGUACCUUCAAGAUGGCUACCAGAUAUGAAAAACGAAAGCAUAAUUGUAAAAUCAGAAGAACUCCAGAUCUGACAAAGAAGCAACAUGAAAAACGAAGACAGUGAAAUGACACCAACCCGCAUUUUAAGAGUAUGCUGUGUCUCAACUGAUAGCGGGUACAAGACAAACACCUCAGAUGAUGUAAAAUAGGGUCUAAGCUACAACAACCAUUGCAAAAAUGUAAAAAAAAUCGUAGUUUAUGCAUUUCUAGAUAAUUGACGGUAAAAAUAGUUUUAAAAUGACAAUUUUCAUUUAAAAAAUAAUUUGACAACCCUGUUUGCAAGCUUUUAAAUGAUAUCAAACUCAACUGUUUAUAUUUUCCAGUGAUGAAGACAUGAUAUUGUGGGGCUGUGCAAAAUGGGUGAACUUUGAACACCUCAAUCUCUUAAAUGUUUUGUUAUUCAGGUCCAAAAAGUAACUUUCUGACCUCUUCUACCUUGGACAAAUAUGUAUGGGAAGUUUUGUUCAAAACAAAAAGGGUGUGGUCAAAAGAGAUUGAAAUCAAAUGAAACAACCAACUAUUUCAAGGCUACUCACUCUUGAUCCAGGAUUCUCUAAUGUAACAAAGAAGCUUGAGCUUGCAAGCUUGCCACCUAUAGUUAGCAAACCAACUCAUAGCUGGAGAAAAUGUAUUUGGCACAAUUAUAGUUACAGUGCCUUCAGAAAGUAUUCAUACCCCCUUGACCUAUUCCACAUUUUCCUGUGUUACAGCAUGAAUUCAAAAUUGAUUCAAUAUUUUUUUUCUCAC
Long non-coding RNA from Oncorhynchus gorbuscha (pink salmon), 960 nucleotides. RefSeq lists it as uncharacterized. NCBI's taxonomy places the organism in Eukaryota, Metazoa, Chordata, Actinopteri, Salmoniformes, Salmonidae. The transcript has 3 exons. The record is from RefSeq and is a predicted model, not a curated record.